CCCCGAAAUGAUAACUGGAUGGAUUGAUCGGUGUUCAGUCCCUUUCUGUCUUUUAAGUUUUCGGAAUAUCAAAGAGGAAAUGCUUCUUACACGGUUCUGAAAUACCUAGUUUUCUUAGCCGUUUACUUUUCCUCGACAUCC
This 141-nucleotide small nucleolar RNA is filed under the name Sungouiella intermedia. The record is from RNAcentral. Lineage: Eukaryota; Fungi; Ascomycota; Pichiomycetes; Serinales; Metschnikowiaceae.